RNAcentral lists this ribosomal RNA (581 nucleotides) under Staphylococcus aureus. RNAcentral describes it as "partial 23S ribosomal RNA". It matches the Rfam family "Bacterial large subunit ribosomal RNA", at positions 867 to 1452 of the family's 2925-position model. Lineage: Bacteria; Bacillati; Bacillota; Bacilli; Caryophanales; Staphylococcaceae. The record is from RNAcentral.
GCUUUAGGGCUAGCCUCAAGUGAUGAUUAUUGGAGGUAGAGCACUGUUUGGACGAGGGGCCCCUCUCGGGUUACCGAAUUCAGACAAACUCCGAAUGCCAAUUAAUUUAACUUGGGAGUCAGAACAUGGGUGAUAAGGUCCGUGUUCGAAAGGGAAACAGCCCAGACCACCAGCUAAGGUCCCAAAAUAUAUGUUAAGUGGAAAAGGAUGUGGCGUUGCCCAGACAACUAGGAUGUUGGCUUAGAAGCAGCCAUCAUUUAAAGAGUGCGUAAUAGCUCACUAGUCGAGUGACACUGCGCCGAAAAUGUACCGGGGCUAAACAUAUUACCGAAGCUGUGGAUUGUCCUUUGGACAAUGGUAGGAGAGCGUUCUAAGGGCGUUGAAGCAUGAUCGUAAGGACAUGUGGAGCGCUUAGAAGUGAGAAUGCCGGUGUGAGUAGCGAAAGACGGGUGAGAAUCCCGUCCACCGAUUGACUAAGGUUUCCAGAGGAAGGCUCGUCCGCUCUGGGUUAGUCGGGUCCUAAGCUGAGGCCGACAGGCGUAGGCGAUGGAUAACAGGUUGAUAUUCCUGUACCACCUAUA